GGGUCGAUGGCGUAGUUGGUUAUCGCAUCUGUCUAACACACAGAAGGUCUCCAGUUCGAACCUGGAUCGACUCA
Molecule: transfer RNA, 74 nt
Filed under: Trametes sanguinea
Lineage: Eukaryota; Fungi; Basidiomycota; Agaricomycetes; Polyporales; Polyporaceae
Also listed under: 2 other names
Description: tRNA-Val
Rfam family: tRNA
About the family: Transfer RNA (tRNA) molecules are approximately 80 nucleotides in length. Their secondary structure includes four short double-helical elements and three loops (D, anti-codon, and T loops).
Source: RNAcentral